UGGGGUAUAGCCAAGUGGUAAGGCAACAGACUUUGACUCUGUCAUUCGUAGGUUCGAGUCCUGCUACCCCAGCCA
Molecule: transfer RNA, 75 nt
Filed under: Candidatus Crickella equi
Lineage: Bacteria; Bacillati; Bacillota; Clostridia; Peptostreptococcales; Anaerovoracaceae
Description: tRNA-Gln
Rfam family: tRNA
About the family: Transfer RNA (tRNA) molecules are approximately 80 nucleotides in length.
Source: RNAcentral